RNAcentral lists this unclassified non-coding RNA (347 nucleotides) under soil metagenome. RNAcentral describes it as "partial contains 5.8S ribosomal RNA, internal transcribed spacer 2, and large subunit ribosomal RNA". The stretch from base 1 to 120 matches the Rfam family "5.8S ribosomal RNA", at positions 35 to 154 of the family's 154-position model. The record is from RNAcentral.
GAUGAAGAACGCAGCGAAAUGCGAUAAUUAAUGUGAAUUGCAGAAUUCAGUGAAUCAUCGAGUCUUUGAACGCACAUUGCGCCCCCUGGUAUUCCGGGGGGCAUGCCUGUCCGAGCGUCAUUGCUGCCCUCAAGCACGGCUUGUGUGUUGGGCUUCCGUCCCUGGUAACGGGGACGGGCCCAAAAGGCAGUGGCGGCACCAUGUCUGGUCCUCGAGCGUAUGGGGCUUUGUCACCCGCUCCCGUAGGUCCAGCUGGCAGCUAGCCUCGCAACCAAUCUUUUUAACCAGGUUGACCUCGGAUCAAGUAGGGAUACCCGCUGAACUUAAGCAUAUCAAUAAGCGGAGGA